RNA transcript from Momordica charantia (bitter melon), 1188 nucleotides. It is a transcript of the gene named monothiol glutaredoxin-S11 pseudogene, with no coding region annotated. The record is from RefSeq and is a predicted model, not a curated record. Lineage: Eukaryota; Viridiplantae; Streptophyta; Magnoliopsida; Cucurbitales; Cucurbitaceae.
CAAGAAAAGGAAAAGAAAAGAAAACGGCUUGCAUAAUCAUAAAUCAUUUUUUUUUUCUUCCUGUAUGAUCAGACUCUAAAAUUCUGAUGAACAGAGAGAACAAGGCGGUGAAAGAGAUUGAUAAAAUUGGGGCAUGAAAGACAACGCCGCAGCAUCUUGUUAAUGGAAGCUAUUCGAUUAUUUCGCCCUCUCGAUCACUCAAUUUCACAUAUAAUUCAAAUGGAAUCUCUCUCCACAACGAAUGAUAUCAUGAUCAAGCACGAAGAAGGUUCCGCGUCAUAUCAAUCCGAUGAGGAUAUGCGCAGUCUGUGCGUGACGCAUCCAGAUUAUGAUGCGAGAUAGGUUUUGCGGGGGUUUUAUCACAUCAUCAAUGGCUUCAACGCAAUUAACUGCCAGAAAUGCUGUGGAACAUCACUCUGUUAGAUUAAUGAAGCUAAGCAAGCUCCACAUACAAGGAAUCAUACAAGUUGGUGGACAGAAUACAAAGAAUUGCAGCCACUGAAGUCUUUCUGGGUAAGGAUUCAAAGAUGGCGAUUGCAAGAAUCUGGUAUAUAUUGACUGUCAUUACAGAAUUUUUUGCUUUUGUUUUAUUGUCUCUUAAUAGUUAUAUUCUCAUUUCCACAAACUCUGCAAAGUAGAAGACACGGUUAUUGUUUUUACACGUCAGAAAAAGAUURAUAGGAUCAAUAUCACCACUUGAUUGUGUUACUAAUACAAGUAUGAUUAACUCAUAAUCUACAAAUCAAAUGGUUAAUGAUUCAUAUAGCAGCAUAAUAUAAUAGUCGUAUCCUCUAAAUUAGAAGACCUGUCAACUUGUCCAGCCUGUUGGAAACAGUAGUCCUCAUUUUAAAAAGUUAAACUUUUAUUAAUUUGAGCAUCUAACUAAAGCACAAGCUCUUUUGAACGUUCUUUUUUUUUUAUAAAGAAGGCAAUCUUCCUUAUGUUGUCUCUAUAAAUAGUCUUGCAUGAGAGCUCAAACUCAUAUAACAACAAGCUUCGAUAUUUGUUUUCUCUUGCACACUUUUCCUUCUUAAUAUUUAAAGCCUAUAUAACCGUUUGGACCAAAUUUGAAUAAAUUUGGUCCAAAAAGGUUAUAAGGUUUUAAACAAACUUGAAAAAAAACCUUAUAUAUAUCAAGUGUACUUUUGUUUCUUUGCUUCAUAUCAUCUGCAAGGAAAACUCUAUCAU